UACGUAUGGUGCAAGCGUUAUCCGGAUUUACUGGGCGUAAAGGGAGCGCAGGCGGCGCGCCAAGUCUGAUGUGAAACCCCGGGGCUCAACCCCGGGCAUGCAUUGGAAACUGGCGGGCUGGAGUGCCGGAGAGGUAAGCGGAAUUCCUAGUGUAGCGGUGAAAUGCGUAGAUAUAUGGAAGAACACCAGUGGCGAAAGCGGCUCUCUGGUCUGUAACUGACGCUGAGGUUCGAAAGCGUGGGUAGCAAACAGG
This 253-nucleotide ribosomal RNA is filed under the name uncultured bacterium. Its description in RNAcentral is "partial 16S ribosomal RNA". It matches the Rfam family "Bacterial small subunit ribosomal RNA", at positions 524 to 776 of the family's 1533-position model. The record is from RNAcentral.